RNAcentral lists this ribosomal RNA (396 nucleotides) under uncultured bacterium. RNAcentral describes it as "partial 16S ribosomal RNA". It matches the Rfam family "Bacterial small subunit ribosomal RNA", at positions 523 to 918 of the family's 1533-position model. The record is from RNAcentral.
AUACGUAGGGAGCGAGCGUUGUCCGGAAUUACUGGGUGUAAAGGGAGCGUAGGCGGGAGUGCAAGUCAGAUGUGAAAUACAUGGGCUCAACCCAUGGGCUGCAUUUGAAACUGCAUUUCUUGAGUGACGAAGAGGUAAGCGGAAUUCCUGGUGUAGCGGUGAAAUGCGUAGAUAUCAGGAGGAACACCGGUGGCGAAGGCGGCUUACUGGGCUUUUACUGACGCUGAGGCUCGAAAGCGUGGGGAGCAAACAGGAUUAGAUACCCUGGUAGUCCACGCUGUAAACGAUGAUUACUAGGUGUGGGGGGACUGACCCCUUCCGUGCCGCAGUUAACACAAUAAGUAAUCCACCUGGGGAGUACGGCCGCAAGGUUGAAACUCAAAUGAAUUGACGGGG